AAAGUCUAAAUGCACAUAAUAUGUGCACACUUAAUUGGACAUUUUUGUAAAUUUGUAUAUUUUUAUUAAUUGCGGAAUUAAUUUAAUUUUAUUUGAAUUUACAAUUUACCUCAUCACCCAUGAUAAUUAUUAAGGAAAUGAUUUCUCCUAAUCUUUCCUUAAAAUUCAAAAUCUUAUUUCCUUUCUCAUAAUCCACACUCACAUACGCUUAUUUCCUUUCUCAUAAUCCACACUCACAGACGCUUCAACAAUGGUGAACUUCGACGACGGCUCUCGCAACCGCGCGCCCCUACGGUCACUACGCUUCAACAAUGGUUGAAUUGUGAAGGGGAGUGCUAGGAGAUUAGUGAAAUCAGAUUUCUAUUUAGCCUGCAGGGGACCGAAAUAUGAAGCAGAUUUCUAUAUGCUUCAUACAAAUCAAUUGUCUUUUUCUUCUUUUCAAAUGUGGUUUUUGGGUGAGUUGAGGUUGUAGUGCAGUGUUCAUGUUCUCAUCUUUAAAAAAAAACAUUGCAGCUGCAUCUUUCUUUUACUUUGGGCAUUGGUUCUCUGUUUCUCCAAUCCGUCUUAAGCACGAGGUGCGUGCUUCGGGUGGAAGAACUUGCGUUAACCUCGGGGAACGAAUCAGCGCGUAGGGCGUGCACCUCAUUGUCGGCCGAAUCUCGUUUUCAGGGCAGUGGUUUUCACCACGACGCAUUGCUUCUUGCUCUUUGUUUGUUUUCUGUGCAGCUUCUCAGCUUGGAGUUUUGUCGAACACUUGAAACGACGCACCGUUCGGCUCGACACACCAAACAUAGCAGCUGCCUCCUUUUGUGCUCCAUCGUUCGUUUUCCCGUUGGUGCUAUUUGCGAGAAGCCAAUGAGCCAUAGCAUUUUGCUCUUCUAUUGUUAGGUGUUUUUUGGAAGACAUGAGCUCAUUGUUUUGUUUUGAACCUUUCGAAUGAUCUGUAAAUGUUUCUGGAAUAGUGUGUUUAUGUUUAAAUAGGUGACUAAUUAAUGUAUUUGGAGGGAGCCGAAAUUUGGAGGCUUUCCCUCCAUAAAUUUUUAGUUUAGUGAAAUGGAAAUUAAUGCCUUUUUUAA
Long non-coding RNA from Salvia miltiorrhiza (redroot sage), 1076 nucleotides. RefSeq lists it as uncharacterized. The transcript is spliced from 2 exons. Lineage: Eukaryota; Viridiplantae; Streptophyta; Magnoliopsida; Lamiales; Lamiaceae. The record is from RefSeq and is a predicted model, not a curated record.